RNAcentral lists this ribosomal RNA (1528 nucleotides) under Klebsiella pneumoniae. RNAcentral describes it as "bacterial SSU rRNA". It matches the Rfam family "Bacterial small subunit ribosomal RNA". Lineage: Bacteria; Pseudomonadati; Pseudomonadota; Gammaproteobacteria; Enterobacterales; Enterobacteriaceae. The record is from RNAcentral.
AGAGUUUGAUCAUGGCUCAGAUUGAACGCUGGCGGCAGGCCUAACACAUGCAAGUCGAGCGGUAGCACAGAGAGCUUGCUCUCGGGUGACGAGCGGCGGACGGGUGAGUAAUGUCUGGGAAACUGCCUGAUGGAGGGGGAUAACUACUGGAAACGGUAGCUAAUACCGCAUAAUGUCGCAAGACCAAAGUGGGGGACCUUCGGGCCUCAUGCCAUCAGAUGUGCCCAGAUGGGAUUAGCUAGUAGGUGGGGUAACGGCUCACCUAGGCGACGAUCCCUAGCUGGUCUGAGAGGAUGACCAGCCACACUGGAACUGAGACACGGUCCAGACUCCUACGGGAGGCAGCAGUGGGGAAUAUUGCACAAUGGGCGCAAGCCUGAUGCAGCCAUGCCGCGUGUGUGAAGAAGGCCUUCGGGUUGUAAAGCACUUUCAGCGGGGAGGAAGGCGGUAAGGUUAAUAACCUCACCGAUUGACGUUACCCGCAGAAGAAGCACCGGCUAACUCCGUGCCAGCAGCCGCGGUAAUACGGAGGGUGCAAGCGUUAAUCGGAAUUACUGGGCGUAAAGCGCACGCAGGCGGUCUGUCAAGUCGGAUGUGAAAUCCCCGGGCUCAACCUGGGAACUGCAUUCGAAACUGGCAGGCUAGAGUCUUGUAGAGGGGGGGAGAAUUCCAGGUGUAGCGGUGAAAUGCGUAGAGAUCUGGAGGAAUACCGGUGGCGAAGGCGGCCCCCUGGACAAAGACUGACGCUCAGGUGCGAAAGCGUGGGGAGCAAACAGGAUUAGAUACCCUGGUAGUCCACGCCGUAAACGAUGUCGAUUUGGAGGUUGUGCCCUUGAGGCGUGGCUUCCGGAGCUAACGCGUUAAAUCGACCGCCUGGGGAGUACGGCCGCAAGGUUAAAACUCAAAUGAAUUGACGGGGGCCCGCACAAGCGGUGGAGCAUGUGGUUUAAUUCGAUGCAACGCGAAGAACCUUACCUGGUCUUGACAUCCACAGAACUUUCCAGAGAUGGAUUGGUGCCUUCGGGAACUGUGAGACAGGUGCUGCAUGGCUGUCGUCAGCUCGUGUUGUGAAAUGUUGGGUUAAGUCCCGCAACGAGCGCAACCCUUAUCCUUUGUUGCCAGCGGUCCGGCCGGGAACUCAAAGGAGACUGCCAGUGAUAAACUGGAGGAAGGUGGGGAUGACGUCAAGUCAUCAUGGCCCUUACGACCAGGGCUACACACGUGCUACAAUGGCAUAUACAAAGAGAAGCGACCUCGCGAGAGCAAGCGGACCUCAUAAAGUAUGUCGUAGUCCGGAUUGGAGUCUGCAACUCGACUCCAUGAAGUCGGAAUCGCUAGUAAUCGUAGAUCAGAAUGCUACGGUGAAUACGUUCCCGGGCCUUGUACACACCGCCCGUCACACCAUGGGAGUGGGUUGCAAAAGAAGUAGGUAGCUUAACCUUCGGGAGGGCGCUUACCACUUUGUGAUUCAUGACUGGGGUGAAGUCGUAACAAGGUAACCGUAGGGGAACCUGCGGUUGGAUCACCU